UGCGGAGGAUCAUUAUCGAGUUUUUGAAACGGGUUGUCGCUGGUCCCGUUCUUAACAGAGUCGGGACAUGUGCACACCUGGCUUCAUUCCACUCUUCAACCCCUGUGCACUUGUUGUAGGUUUUAGGUCGGACGCGGGGCUUUUGACUUCAUCGUCGAGAGCCUCAAGGAAAGCCUGAGCCUAUGUUUUACCAUACACACGCUUCAGUUAUAGAAUGUAAACAUCGCGUAUAACGCAUUUUAAAUACAACUUUCAGCAACGGAUCUCUUGGCUCUCGCAUCGAUGAAGAACGCAACGAAAUGCGAUAAGUAAUGUGAAUUGCAAAAUUCAGUGAAUCAUCGAAUCUUUGAACGCACCUUGCGCUCCUUGGUAUUCCGAGGAGCAUGCCUGUUUGAGUGUCAUGGAAUUCUCAACCUUUGAAAGCUUUUAUCGGUUCUCAAAGGCUUGGACUUGGAGGUCGUGUCGGCUUCUGCAAAGAAUCGACUCCUCUGAAACGUAUCAGUGCGAACCUUUACGGAUCGUCUUCGGUGUGAUAAACGUCUACGCCGUGGUCGUGAAGUAUGAUCGUGUCCGUGCUUCUAACCGUCUCCUUUGCGAGACAAAAACUGUGUUACUAUAAGUAACAUAGGCAUUGACAAUCUGACCUCAAAUCAGGUAGGACUACCCGCUGAACUUAAGCAUAUCAAUAA
This 689-nucleotide ribosomal RNA is filed under the name fungal sp. NLR-2013. RNAcentral describes it as "eukaryotic LSU rRNA". The stretch from base 248 to 401 matches the Rfam family "5.8S ribosomal RNA". Lineage: Eukaryota; Fungi. The record is from RNAcentral.